UGCAUAUCAAAAAAGCGGAGGAAAAGAAACUAACAAGGAUUCCCCUAGUAACUGCGAGUGAAGCGGGAAAAGCUCAAAUUUAAAAUCUGGUGGUCUUUGGCCAUCCGAGUUGUAAUCUAGAGAAGUGUUAUCCGCGCUGGACCGUGUACAAGUCCCCUGGAAUGGGGCGUCAUAGAGGGUGAGAAUCCCGUCUUUGACACGGACUACCAGGGCUUUGUGAUGCACUCUCAAAGAGUCGAGUUGUUUGGGAAUGCAGCUCAAAAUGGGUGGUAAAUUCCAUCUAAAGCUAAAUAUUGGCGAGAGACCGAUAGCGAACAAGUACCGUGAGGGAAAGAUGAAAAGAACUUUGGAAAGAGAGUUAAACAGUACGUGAAAUUGUUGAAAGGGAAACGCUUGAAGUCAGUCGCGUCUGCCAGGGAUCAACCUUACUUUUGUGAGGCGUACUUCCUGGUUGAUGGGUCAGCAUCAGUUUUGGUCGCUGGAUAAAGGUCAGAGAAAUGUGGCACCUUCGGGUGUGUUAUAGUCUUUGAUCAGAUACAGUGGCUGGGACUGAGGAACUCAGCGCCGCAAGGCUGUCUUAGGAUGCUGGCAAAAUGGCUUUAAUCGACCCGUCUUGAAACACGGACAAAGGGAGU
This 635-nucleotide ribosomal RNA is filed under the name Pleurotus ostreatoroseus. Its description in RNAcentral is "LSU rRNA". It matches the Rfam family "Eukaryotic large subunit ribosomal RNA", at positions 37 to 674 of the family's 3401-position model. Lineage: Eukaryota; Fungi; Basidiomycota; Agaricomycetes; Agaricales; Pleurotaceae. The record is from RNAcentral.